GGCCGAUUGGCCUAAUGGUAAGGCGUGAGUCUCGUAUGUACCACCACCGCUUCAAAAUCUUGCAUAAUUGUCUAACCUUCUCCAAGCUACUCCGGAUUAAACUCAAGAUUGCGGGUUCGAUCCCCGUGUCGGUCG
Molecule: transfer RNA, 135 nt
Filed under: Aspergillus calidoustus
Lineage: Eukaryota; Fungi; Ascomycota; Eurotiomycetes; Eurotiales; Aspergillaceae
Rfam family: tRNA
About the family: Transfer RNA (tRNA) molecules are approximately 80 nucleotides in length. Their secondary structure includes four short double-helical elements and three loops (D, anti-codon, and T loops).
Source: Rfam by way of RNAcentral